Tachyglossus aculeatus (Australian echidna) is the source of this 329-nucleotide long non-coding RNA. RefSeq lists it as uncharacterized. The record is from RefSeq and is a predicted model, not a curated record. The transcript has 3 exons. NCBI's taxonomy places the organism in Eukaryota, Metazoa, Chordata, Mammalia, Monotremata, Tachyglossidae.
CUGUCAGCCAAGAAAAGAGCCCAGGCCUACAGACUUUAAGGGUUGAAAAUAGCAGGCUGCGAGCAAGGAAGACUUGGAAUAAAAGUUGGUAGAACGAUCCGUCACAUUGACAGGGAUAUUCCUUUUGGUCCCUGCUGCUCAGCCCUGGCAGUUCAUCUUUUCCCUGACACGGGGAAGGCAGGGGUUGAGCUGAGGGGAAGGGGAGUUGAGAAGACAAGAGCAAGGACAAUGCACUUUUUCAAAGAGCCUGGAUUUAUGGAAGAGUAGAUUAAAGGUAGUCAAAGGCCAGACCGAGAAGCUGUCUACGUUGAUUUAACAAAGCAAGGGAA